UAACCUCUGACGAUCUUCGUGAAUGUUA
Molecule: regulatory RNA element, 28 nt
Organism: Flavobacteria bacterium BBFL7
Lineage: Bacteria; Pseudomonadati; Bacteroidota; Flavobacteriia
Rfam family: L19-Flavobacteria ribosomal protein leader
Source: Rfam